AGCGGGACCGCCCUGCGACAGGUUCCCGGGGGGAACAGGACGAGGGGAUUGCGCUGU
Molecule: non-coding RNA, 57 nt
Filed under: Sus scrofa (pig)
Lineage: Eukaryota; Metazoa; Chordata; Mammalia; Artiodactyla; Suidae
Source: RNAcentral